UGUGUGAUGUAAAUCUGACUGCCUUCUAC
This 29-nucleotide non-coding RNA is filed under the name Rattus norvegicus (Norway rat). The record is from RNAcentral. Lineage: Eukaryota; Metazoa; Chordata; Mammalia; Rodentia; Muridae.